GGAGGCAGCAGUGGGGAAUUUUCCGCAAUGGGCGAAAGCCUGACGGAGCAAGACCGCGUGGGGGAGGAAGGUUCUUGGAUUGUCAACCCCUUUUCUCAGGGAAGAACACAAUGACGGUACCUGAGGAAAAAGCAUCGGCUAACUCCGUGCCAGCAGCCGCGGUAAUACGGGGGAUGCAAGCGUUAUCCGGAAUGAUUGGGCGUAAAGAGUCCGUAGGUAGUCAUCCAAGUCUGCUGUUAAAGAGCGAGGCUUAACCUCGUAAAGGCAGUGGAAACUGGAAGACUAGAGUGUAGUAGGGGCAGAGGGAAUUCCUGGUGUAGCGGUGAAAUGCGUAGAGAUCAGGAAGAACACCGGUGGCGAAGGCGCUCUGCUGGGCUAUAACUGACACUGAGGGACGAAAGCUAGGGGAGCGAAUGGGAUUAGAUACCCCAGUAGUCCUAGCGGUAAACGAUGGAAACUAGGUGUGGCCUGUAUCGACC
RNAcentral lists this ribosomal RNA (479 nucleotides) under Planktothrix agardhii. RNAcentral describes it as "bacterial SSU rRNA". It matches the Rfam family "Bacterial small subunit ribosomal RNA", at positions 344 to 837 of the family's 1533-position model. The record is from RNAcentral. RNAcentral also lists the same sequence under 3 other names. Lineage: Bacteria; Bacillati; Cyanobacteriota; Cyanophyceae; Oscillatoriales; Microcoleaceae.